GAUGAACGCUGGCGGCAUGCCUAAUACAUGCAAGUCGAACGAGAGACCUUCGGGUCUCUAGUGGCGAACGGGUGAGUAACACGUAGGGAACCUGCCCGCGCACCGGGAAUACGCUCUGGAAACGGAGAACAAAUCCCGAUGUACAGUAAGGAGGCAUCUUCUUUCUGUGAAACAUCCUCUAGGGGAUGGGGCGCGGAUGGACCUGCGGUGCAUUAGUUUGUUGGCGGGGUAAAGGCCCACCAAGACGAUGAUGCAUAGCCGGCCUGAGAGGGCGGACGGCCACAUUGGGACUGAGACACGGCCCAG
This 306-nucleotide ribosomal RNA is filed under the name uncultured bacterium. RNAcentral's name for it is "bacterial SSU rRNA". It matches the Rfam family "Bacterial small subunit ribosomal RNA", at positions 28 to 334 of the family's 1533-position model. The record is from RNAcentral.